CCAGUGUAGAGAGUACAAUUGUUAAAUACCAACUACGAUGGACAGGGCAUGUCGUACGGAUGAAUGACGACAGACUGCCAAAACAGAUGUUGCACUGUCAGCUAAAUGAAGGGAAAAGAAAUGUUGGCGGGCAGAGAAAACGCUACAAGGAUUGCUUAAAGACUUUGAAACAAUGUGAAAUAGAUACUACAUACUGGGAAGACCUAGCAAAAGACAGAAUUAAAUGGAGAACUGUAGUCAGUGAAGGAGUGACAAAGUAUGAGGAGAAAAGAACAUCUAUGAUUCUUGAAAAAAGAAGGAGGAGACUGGAAAGAAGAGUCAUGUCAAAAUGUAUAUUACCACCUGGUCUGAUCUGUCCCAUAUGCGGCAGAAACUUCAAAGCUCGUAUUGGCUUGUACAGUCACUACAGAGCACAUCAUUCUUAGGGACCAUGGACCCCUAUCUUCUAACAGAAGAGGAGCCAGCAAGAAAGCAACUCGUUGGCAUACCUGCAGUCUGACGUUGAACAUCAUGGAGGCGACCAGGUAGAUGUAAGGGAACCUAAUUCUCAGUCUCCAGGCCAGGUGGAAGAAGAUCAUCAGCGUCCUGGUCAAGCCUUUAGAAAACACCCCGUAGCUGCGACCCGCAGUCCCCGAGAAGCGGAGCACCAAGUGAGACAGCCCCGCCAUGGAGGCUCCUGUGACGGGUUGGGGGGGUCACUAUGUGGGCUGAGCUGGCAGAAAAGCUGCGGCGAACAUCGGUGCUCCGCCCCAGCGACUGUCUCGUCUUUCUGUUCCUACCGUGUUGUUGUCAUUUUUUGGGGGUGGGGGGACUGAUUAUUUUGUGACACACGGAAGUGUAUUUGGUAAUGACUCUUGAGAAACAAACUUAAACAUUUAAAACAAAUACGCCAUUGGUAUUAAACAUAUUUACAUCUUAAAAGGUGAUUCAGAACGGCGUGGUUUGGUAGGAAAUUAAAAUCGGGUAAUUAUCGAAACGUAACUCCGAGUUUAGACUGCCAUAAAAUAGGGAUAGGACAAUACUGCAUUUUUUUUUUAAAUCGAUCCGAUAGGAAAUAAAUACGCAGCCGGUGUUGACUUUUUACGUGACUAUUUGGCUCUAAAACUUUUUUUUUCCAUGUUUAAAGACAGAACAAAACAUAAUAAAAUGAAUAAAUGCAUAAAUAAGUAAAUGAAUAAGUAAUAUACACUAUAUUGCCAAAAGUACCUGCCUUGACUCACAUAUGAACUCAAAGUGCCAUCAUUCCUAACCCAUAGGGUUCAAUAUGAUGUGGGUCCACCUUUUGCAGCUAUUACAGCUUCAACUCUUCUGGGAAGGCUGUCCACAAGGUUGCGGAGUGUGUUUCUAGCAAUUUUCCACCAUCUUUCCAAAAGCGCAUUGGUGAGGUCACACACUGAUGUUGGUGGAGAAGGCCUGGCUCUCAAUCCAAUCCAAUCCAAUCCAAUCCACUUUAUUUAUAUAGCACAUUUACACAACAAGAAUGUUUCCAAAGUUCUGCACAGCCAUGUUAAAAACAAUAUUAAAAACAAAAUUAAAAACAAUAUUAAAAACGAUAUUAAAAACAAUAUUAUGCUACACCAAUGACUGAAUAAAAACAAAGAAUAAAUGAAUAGAAAACCAAUACAGAAACAAUAUAAAAAAUAAAUAUGAUUAAAAACGAUUUUAAAGGGUAAAACCAAUUAAAACAGUAAAAUAGACAUCAACAUUUAUAAAAAACACAGAGGACAACAGAGUCCUCUCAGCCUCUCUCCGUCCUAAUUCAUCCCAAAGGUGUUCUGUCGGGUUCAGGUCAGGACUCUGUGCAGGCCAGUCAAGUUCAUUCAC
Long non-coding RNA from Entelurus aequoreus (snake pipefish), 1824 nucleotides. RefSeq lists it as uncharacterized. The record is from RefSeq and is a predicted model, not a curated record. The transcript is spliced from 3 exons. NCBI's taxonomy places the organism in Eukaryota, Metazoa, Chordata, Actinopteri, Syngnathiformes, Syngnathidae.